Molecule: unclassified non-coding RNA, 1948 nt
Filed under: Cyanidioschyzon merolae strain 10D
Lineage: Eukaryota; Rhodophyta; Bangiophyceae; Cyanidiales; Cyanidiaceae
Description: hypothetical transcript
Source: RNAcentral
GAUUGUUUUGCUCCCGUCCAAUGUUGUAGGUAUAUAGACUCGACACGCUCAGUGCUGCAAGAUGGGCUUUCGGGUUCAUACGUAAAUUUAGGGUGCUUCGAUGCCUUUUCGGACUGGCUCCAUCGUCUCUUUGCCGCCGGAUUCUCGGUAUGCGACAGCAGGCACGCUGAUUCUCGACACGCUGGAGCAAGGAAUCCUAACCAACCGCUAUCGUGAUGCAGUUCAUACGGACACGCCGCCACGCUUCCCAUGUCAUGACGUGUACUGUGCGCAAAUCACACAUGUUUCAUGCUGUGGAUCUUUCGAGUUCAGGGCAAGUCGAGGGCGCGGUCGUGCACGCCGCUGGAUAGACGAGAGACCAAAACUCGACGACGUGGCUUGAGGACGUGUUCAGGAGCGCGCGCCGCAUACUCCCUGGACCUGGAACGUCAGCAAGCAAUCGAUCCGGUUCGAGACACAAAACCUCAUCCCUUUGUCGCUGUGGAAGAAACGGCAGUCCACAGCCGAACGAAACCGCUCACGGGACGUGCCUCCAGAGACUCCUGUCUCCAGUGCUUGCAACGAAAAGCAUCUUGAGCACGGCGUGCUGUGGACCCAGCGAUAUCCUGCAGAGGAGCUUGGGUCAUCACUCUGCACAAGCGGAGCGUAGAUCGAUCGGUAUGUCUCGACAGUAUAUGCAAACUGCGCAUUCCUUCCGGUACUUGUUUCAUCAUGGAAAAAUUCGCUUUCUGCAAAUCCACAACUGCAAAGCACAUCAUGCGCUUUCGUGUGCAGUGGAGAGCGUACUCGAGGAGUGGAUCCCCCAGAAGAAGCACAUGGUUGUAGGGCACGGCAACGGGCGCGGAAACGGGAGCGGGUAUCCACUGACACCUUCUGUACGCUUCGAGGACGGUUCCUGAGCGAUGAUGCUGGCCUUGACGCGACCCAGGGCGGCUAUCGGGAACGGAGGCACGAUGGACAUAUGGGGGCACCUUAUCACAGGCAUGCGUCAGCGGUACAAAGCGCCCACCGAAGCUGUCUGCAAUGAAGAUGAUCAUGGCGAGCAAAACGUUGAUCGCAACUACCUUCUGUGCAUGAAAUGCCUCGACAGCAACUCGAAAUUGCGGCAUCGUACCACUACCGUUGCCAUCAAUAUCCAUCCACUACUGAAACCGAAGCUCGAAUGACACAGGAGACCUGCACACCCAGCGCAGAAGCUUGCCGAAGGUAUACGAAAGACAUUACCGAACGAGCGCGCAAAGACCAGUUUUGGUAACAGCCGGAUAUACUCAACCACUCAUUUGAACGCCAGAAUAGGCUGGUUGAAAUCGUUUCACUUCAUUCUGCCACGAUUGUGAGGAUGCGUUGGAUAAACCUGUUUCGUGAUACUCGAAUUGGUUCUUUAGGAAACGCAAUCGAACUUUUUCCUACGAUUUUGGCACAAAAGCAUGACUUGUCUGUGACGCUAAAUAUUUUGUGAAGUAAGCGCAUACAUAGUCUGCACUGCGACGAGGUUAUCGAGCUUGCUGUCUGCCUUUCUACGACGGCUGAGACCCAGACGCCUUAUUCCGCUCGUACCGGGUGAAUUGGAUUACAGGCACGAAAGAACAUUUUGCUUCAGGUCCAACAUUGAUUUCAUGUACCCGUGCAACCCACUGCAGCGUGCUCCGUUCAAAGCGCAGAGCACGGUUUGUUUUGAGGUCGAACAAUCCUCCUUGACAUCCGUGGAACGUACUCUGGCUUGCGUCAAUGCACAGAGCACUCAUCAUGGUCUUCAGAGAUCUUGUCGCAUAGUUUCCAGGACGGAAACUCGGGUUCUAAAUAGCGAUAUCUGGCCCGGAAUGCAAUGCACCUAGCACCGCCACCGCCGCCACCGCCACCACCAGCAGCAGCAGCAUCAGUAGAAGUAGAAGUAGUUCGCGCCUCAUUUCGAUGAGGCUCGUCCCCUUCUCUUGACAUAAACUUUACG